ACUUCAUAAACUUUCUCCUCUACAUUUUCCUGUUCGGGGAGAGGGAAAGAAAAGAACAUCUUGCAAAACUCCCCGGCUUAUCAUAAACAUAGUUUUUUUUAUUAUUUAUUUUCUUUUUUCCCCUCUCUCUCCCUCUCUCCCUGAAUUCCAUUUCUUAAAUUGGCAGCGCGGGUCCAAGCCUGUAGCCCCAAAUCGGAUAAUCUCUGCAGCUGAUAACAAGCAAAAGAGAAGCCAGGCAACAGCCAUAUUAAAGAAGAAAACAAUCAACUCUGAGAUCCAACUUAGAAAUAAUGUUUCAUUCAAGAUAAGGCUCGUGGCUUAGGAGAUUGUGACCUGGCUUGCAUCAUUCUAAGACUUCUAUCGUCUGUUUUCAAAACCCAAGGAGGACCUCCUUUUCUGUGUGAUAGUUCCUCAUGCUUUGCCAGCCACUGGGUCUUUAAGGAAGCUUGCCAAGAGUUCCCGGCUGGGAAGGACAGUUCGAGUUCAUCAUAGACAAUGAGCUGGCACCACAGUUUAAGUGACUCACCAACCUGGUUGCCCACUUCAAAAUGUCAAGAACCACACUAUCUAAUUGAAAGAACUGUGUUUUAGCAAAGUGUAAUUGGAUCGCCUGGCAAGAUCAUCUCAAACUAUGUCUCUGACCUUGCCUUUCAGUGGCUAUUUUGAGCACAAGAGGAGAAAGGAAAUGAUUCCUGAAUUAUAUCUUGUUUUUAAAAAUUAAGAUUAAUUAAUACUUGGUUUUAUGUUCAUUCCAUUGUAGGAACUUAGUGAUUAUUACAAAACAGUCAAAAUAGGUCAUAGCAAAAUGAACGUUUAAGAUUAGGUUAAAACAUUCCUCUGAAAUUUUAGUAUUCACUUUUGAAGUGUCAAUUACUAUAUUUCUGUAAUUUCUCAUUUUUUUCUUGGCUUAGAGUCAAGAUGAAAAAUGAUAUUUGAAUCAAAGACAUUGUUUUGUUAUAUAGCCACUCCUUUCUAAAAUGCAAAUCCACCCUCCCCUCACCAAUGCUUUAUUCUUUGUGCGCGCACACACACACACACACACACACACACACACACACACACACAGACAUACACAGAACCAGCACCCAAAUGGUAGAGGAGGUCCUUCCAAGACUUCUAGGACCUGGAUCAUGUAAGCAGUAGAUGAGAAAAUGAAGUAAGAGAUAUAGAGUAAUAACAAUAAAAGUCAAUGAUUUCAUUUUACAAAAAAGUCAUUGUGUAGUACUCAGAUAUUUUUAAGAGCAAGUAUUAUUAUGACUAAAGUAUAUUAUACUUCUAAAUUAUUAUGAUUCUCAUCUAAUUUCAAGCCACACAUAGGCGCCAUUUGAAAGCAUUUUGUGUUACAACCUAUCAACAAAAAUCAACUAAUAGUUUUAUAACGUGCAUAGGUUUACCCCAUGGGGAAUUAAAAUUUUUAUCUGCAAGUAUUUCUGUUGUUGUGAGACUUUAGGACAAGACAACAUUUGGUGUUAACAUAGAAGAAUAUUCUAUGGCUUUUUUAGCUUUAAAGUUCAUUACUCUAAAAUAAAGUACACGUGGUAUUUUUUUCUUCCUAGUGUUCUCUUAUUAUAUGUAGAGUAUUUUCGGUUGUUGUUUUUAACGUAUACAUUAUUUUUAUUAAGUCAUUUCAUAAAAGAUAAGAUAUAUACUAAUAGACCCUUGGUUUUCUCCUAAUUUAAUUAUUUCAAGUCAAGCAAAAUUGGGCAAUUUUCUUUCAGGAAAAAAAAAAUAUUGAGCAUGAUUUUGAGGUAAAACUGAUUAUUUACAGCAUCUUUUCUCUAAUAGGCUAACAUUUAUGAUGGAUCUUAUUUCAAAGUUGAUUAUUCUCAAAGAAAAGUGGAGAUAUUAGAAUUUCCGAGUAAAUUGCAUUGUUUUAAAAAGUACUUUAAUGCAUUGUUCACAUUGUUGCCAGCUAUUGACCAAAAAAGAGAAGAAGAAAAAAGAAAUAAAAAAAGCAGUAUCUGCUCCAAACGUCAAGUUUUGCAGUUUGAAAGACUUGUACAUUAUAAUUGUUUUUUUCUUUUUUGGAAAGCAGUAGUAAUUAAUACCAAAGGCAUAGACAAUUUAGGGCCAUAACCUCCCUUCCCCCCUCUCCACCUUUUUUUUUUUUUUUUUUUUUUUUUAACUUUAACCAUGAUAGGCAUCUCUGCAAGGUAGGUUUUAACAUAUUUUUUUCCUAAUUUUUUUCCCUCCAUUCAGUAAGAAGGAUAAGCUUUUAGAGUACCCAGUCACCGUGGUAACUGCCAAAAAAAUUCUCCUGAAGUUUGAAGAGGUCAGCUAGCAGGGUCAACAACCCUGGCCUCUCUCUGAGCUCGGUCUAGCAUGCCCCAGCCUGCGGUUGGAGUGUCAGGCCAGAUCUGACCCUGGGAGGUGGACCAUUCUGGCUCUGAUAUAAAUUUUUCGAGUCAGUUCAUGGCCUGGACUCUCCAGGUGGCCUCCAAAAUCGAUUUUGACCCCCUGACCCUGUCUCACGGAGGCAUAGCAUCCACCCUAAGUAAGGAUUUAGCCAGGAAUGACAGCUUUCCACUGAGUGUUAUUGGGGACAGUAUAAACAGUUUGGAAAGCAAGUAAGGAGGUGUGAGGGCUAGCAAUCAUUAAAAGCACAUUAAAAAACAAUUUUUAAAAAUCUUUAUUAGAGAAAGUUGUAAAUGCAUAUCUGUUACAGAAUUCCUGUGAUUUGUAGAGUUUUCUAGUCAGUUUUGAAUAUAAAUAGGUCACAUAUCUUUAUCUUUUUGCAUACUUUGUUACAAAUAUGCAAAUAAGAUAGGCAUACUUGCUACAAAAUAGGUACAGCAGGAAUGUAAUAUGUUCAGAAAAGGCAAACUGGUUAUUAAAACACAUUAACAGGUAAGGAGUUUCUAAUAUUUUAAAUACUAAAAUUUUACAUGUGUAUUUUGAAGUUUUUAAAAUGGAAAAAUAAAGAACCUUUAAAAAACCCAACAGUGUGGAAUAAAGAUAAACUUGUUGCACUCAAGGUACAUUUCUACUUUGUAAAGCAAGAAGCCAAUACACUCAGUUGGAUAAAAAUGAGAGAAAAAUUGUAAAUAUAGAGAGUUACAGCUUAUAGAGCUGAAGAGGAAUAAAACAAAAAAAAGUGUCUCUGAAUAACUUUAUGUAUUUUCAACAGUUUAAGAUAUCAGAAACUUGGAAAAUAAAUAUGAUAUAUAUAUAAAUCAUCAGUGAUUAUUUCCUUUUCAUUCCCCCCCGCCCCCAGGAUGCCACCGUGAGUGUUUGAUUUUCUCUAGGAAAGUAGAAUUCUCUUUGAGAGUUCUAGCCUGUGAACUCAGUAUGUAAAUGUGGCCAUCAAGAAGACAGAACUGCCAAGAGGAAAGAUUAUGAAUGUUUUUCUUCCUUAAAACCAUUCACAGUGUUUCUUCUUCCAGUGCUUUACUCAGACUUCUCCCCUUUUCCCAGCUCUGUUGAAAAUGGCUUCAAAAGCAACACUGCAGUGGCUAAACCAAUUGUACUGUGAAGUUGUUGAGAUGCCAUUUCAUCUGAAUCCUUCGUAAAAAUUAGAUUUUUAAGUAGGGGUGAAUAUCCUUUUGGGAGAGGGAAUGGGAGGGUAGAAGAAGGGGGGAAAGGACAGAGCAGUUUAUAUAUAUAUAUAUAUAUAUAUAUAUAUAUAUAUAUAUAUAUAUGAGUAUAUAUAUAUGAGUAUAUAUAUAUAUGAGUAUAUAUAUAUGAGUAUAUAUAUAUGAGUAUAUAUAUAUGAGUAUAUAUAUAUGAGUAUAUAUAUAUAUGAGUAUAUAUAUAUGAGUAUAUAUAUAUAUGAGUAUAUAUAUAUGAGUAUAUAUAUAUAUGAGUAUAUAUAUAUAUACUCUUUGUGUUUGAAGGCCUCUGUGUCUUGGCUUCUCACUAUGUUAAAUCCCUAUUAUAAAACUUAUCUUCACAAAGCCUAUUAUAGUAUUCUGAGAACAAAUUGGACCAUGAAUAACUUAGUUGGAAGUGUAGAUUAUUUUCUACUCAGGGGAAGUUAGAGAUGACAACAGCUUAACUGAAAGAAUAGUGAUUAAUCUUAAAUAGAUGGAUUUCAAAGUUUCACUCUUGAUAAAGAGUACCUUUGAUAUUUCCCCUCUUCAGAAUCACGUUUCCACUCUCUUUGUAUUAAGAAUUGUCCUAGUGAUUACACUCUCCCCCUAAUACAGCUCAAAGUGUAGAUCAUUUUUUUUCCAGGUUGUUAAUUUGUCAGAGAGGUGACCAGAAAGACACUCUACUUCCUGUUGGUUAAAUCGAUGAUUCCUAAGUGGUACUAGGCUUAGAUACAAAAGUCAAUGAUAAGAAUAUCUUGCAUAAAUCAUAGCUUCUUACUUAGAUAAAAUUCUUAUUUAAAAAUUUUUAAUUUGCUUAAUGCCCUAUAGCUUACAAAGCACUUUUUAAAUCAUAAUUUUGUUUAAUCCUUAGAAUAAUGUUAUAAGAUAAACAAAACUCAUCAAUCCCAUUUUACCUGUGAUUGCACACUGUGAUUGAGCUAAUAAAUGGAAGAAUUGAGAUACCAACUCAGAUUUUGUAGCUUCUGUUUCAAGUGAUUAACCUGUAGCAACAGGCUUUUGAAUUAUUUUUGUGUUCUAUAUCCCUGAAGAUAAAGAUUCUGUAUUAAAGAGCCAAGAUUUUAUAUCUCACAAAUUAAAAACUUAAAAGACAUGACUGAAAAGAAUUCUGUUUACUUUAAAGUGAAUUUUACCAGUUAUUAUUUUUCUUUCUAUAUAUAUGCUUAAAUGGUCUUUCAGAACUGACGGUUUUAAUUUCCAAAAGUUAAACAUGGGAAGCUCUAUAUAAAUUAAAUAACUAUCUGGAAUUUAAACCACGUAUAUAAGAAACUUAGAUUCUAUAUUUCAAAGUAAAAUAUAGCAUAAGACUUUAGAAGCAGGUUCUACAUAUUAAGUAAUUAUUUGAGAAUAUGCCAUUGAUAAAGCUCUUGAGUGUUAGAGGCGAGAUUUCCCUUCAAUUUUAAAAAACUUUUAAAAUCUUUUAACAUCUUAGCAAGUCUGGAUAAACAAAGUCAAAGUCAUAUAGAACUACUUUUGUUCUCUUAGGCUUUUACUUUUUGUGUUUAAUAAAAAGGUUUGCAAAAUACUCUAGGAAAAAUAAUAAAAGGAUUAUUAACUUGACAUUAAUGUAAACCAUCUAAACAUUACAGAAAUCAAGAAAUACAAAUAGAUGACAUUAUUUUAUUCUUAGGUUUUUAAUUAUAUUGCUUUAAACAUGUAAUGUGGGCAGUGUAGAUGUUAAUAUGGAAAUUCUUAUUUUUUAUUUCUUAAAUUAUAUAAAAUUAAAUUAGUCAUUUUAUAUAUACUUAAAUUAAUGCUUUUGCCCUUGAAAUAUUCUAGCAGCCAGAAAAAUCUAGUUAAGCUUGUUAGCAUUAGACAAAAUGAAAAAGUGUAGAGAAAAAGAAAAGCGACUGUUCUGGUAUCAAUAAUGACAUAUGAUAACCUUUUUUUGUACUGAAGUUUUUCUACAAAAACAUGACAUUAGACUGAGGAUUUUUCAUUCUGAUGUGCAGGUUAAUGUUCAAGUCUCCAAAUACAAACUUCUAGUGUCUCCUCCAC
This 5546-nucleotide long non-coding RNA is filed under the name Homo sapiens (human). RNAcentral describes it as "HSALNT0316535". The stretch from base 167 to 275 matches the Rfam family "SOX2 overlapping transcript exon 4". Lineage: Eukaryota; Metazoa; Chordata; Mammalia; Primates; Hominidae. The record is from RNAcentral.